GUAGGUGGCAAGCGUUGUCCGGAAUUAUUGGGCGUAAAGCGCGCGCAGGCGGUCCUUUAAGUCUGAUGUGAAGGCCCACGGCUCAACCGUGGAGGGUCAUUGGAAACUGGGGGACUUGAGUACAGGAGAGGAAAGCGGAAUUCCAAGUGUAGCGGUGAAAUGCGUAGAGAUUUGGAGGAACACCAGUGGCGAAGGCGGCUUUCUGGUCUGUAACUGACGCUGAGGCGCGAAAGCGUGGGGAGCAAACAGGGAUUAGAUACCCUGGUAGUCCACGCCGUAAACGAUGAGUGCUAGGUGUUAGGGGGUUUCCCGCCCCUUAGUGCUGCAGCUAACGCAUUAAGCACUCCGCCUGGGGAGUACGGCCGCAAGGCUG
RNAcentral lists this ribosomal RNA (373 nucleotides) under uncultured organism. Its description in RNAcentral is "partial 16S ribosomal RNA". It matches the Rfam family "Bacterial small subunit ribosomal RNA", at positions 527 to 896 of the family's 1533-position model. The record is from RNAcentral.